This 29-nucleotide non-coding RNA is filed under the name Homo sapiens (human). Lineage: Eukaryota; Metazoa; Chordata; Mammalia; Primates; Hominidae. The record is from RNAcentral.
UACUGCUCAGGGUGAAUGCAGCUGGUCUC